UACAGGGGGGGCAAGCGUUGUUCGGAAUUACUGGGCGUAAAGGGCCAGUAGGCGGCCAACUAAGUCCGACGUGAAAUCCCUAGGCUUAACCUAGGAACUGCGUCGGAUACUGGAUGGCUUGAAUUCGGGAGAGGGAUGCAGAAUUCCAGGUGUAGCGGUGAAAUGCGCAGAUAUCAGGAGGAACACCGAUGGCGAAGGCAGGUCUCUGGGCCAUAACUGACGCUGAGAAGCGAAAGCAUGGGGAGCGAACAGG
This 253-nucleotide ribosomal RNA is filed under the name uncultured bacterium. RNAcentral describes it as "partial 16S ribosomal RNA". It matches the Rfam family "Bacterial small subunit ribosomal RNA", at positions 524 to 776 of the family's 1533-position model. The record is from RNAcentral.